This 294-nucleotide long non-coding RNA is filed under the name Elaeis guineensis (African oil palm). RNAcentral's name for it is "long non-coding RNA (EGUI_LNC075090)". The record is from RNAcentral. Lineage: Eukaryota; Viridiplantae; Streptophyta; Magnoliopsida; Arecales; Arecaceae.
UUCUAUACUUGGAGCGCCAUCUAAAAUAUAGGAAGUUUGGGCUUUGUAUGUCGAAGACAACAUGUCUACAAAAUCACCUAAAAUAUUGGAGAAAUAAUUCUUCAUGAAAGUACCUUAAAUGGUACUUCUAUCCCAAAUUAAUUUCUAAUUUGUAGUUCUUCCUUUGAAUUGAGAUGUGAAAUUCUUCAACACAACAUCCAACCCUACUCACCAUCUUUUAGUUACCACUGCCAUCUCAUAUUGUUUUCUUCCAUUUAAGGGACUAUUUGGAUGGUUGGACCCAAAAUCCUAUGG